UGCAGUCGACGCCCCGCAAGGGGAGUGGCAGACGGGUGAGUAACGCGUGGGAACAUACCCUUUCCUGCGGAAUAGCUCCGGGAAACUGGAAUUAAUACCGCAUACGCCCUACGGGGGAAAGAUUUAUCGGGGAAGGAUUGGCCCGCGUUGGAUUAGCUAGUUGGUGGGGUAAAGGCCUACCAAGGCGACGAUCCAUAGCUGGUCUGAGAGGAUGAUCAGCCACAUUGGGACUGAGACACGGCCCAAACUCCUACGGGAGGCAGCAGUGGGGAAUAUUGGACAAUGGGCGCAAGCCUGAUCCAGCCAUGCCGCGUGAGUGAUGAAGGCCUUAGGGUUGUAAAGCUCUUUCACCGGAGAAGAUAAUGACGGUAUCCGGAGAAGAAGCCCCGGCUAACUUCGUGCCAGCAGCCGCGGUAAUACGAAGGGGGCUAGCGUUGUUCGGAAUUACUGGGCGUAAAGCGCACGUAGGCGGAUAUUUAAGUCAGGGGUGAAAUCCCAGAGCUCAACUCUGGAACUGCCUUUGAUACUGGGUAUCUUGAGUAUGGAAGAGGUAAGUGCAAUUCCCAGUGUAGAGGUGAAAUUCGUAGAUAUUCCGAGGAACCCC
Molecule: ribosomal RNA, 604 nt
Filed under: bacterium enrichment culture clone aHCH4_C12
Lineage: Bacteria
Description: bacterial SSU rRNA
Rfam family: Bacterial small subunit ribosomal RNA
Source: RNAcentral